CCAAACUUGGUCAUUUAGAGGAAGUAAAAGUCGUAACAAGGUCUCCGUUGGUGAACCAGCGGAGGGAUCAUUACAGAGUUGUCACAAACUCCCAAACCCCUGUGAACCUACCACUGUUGCCUCGGCAGGUCCGAGCCCCCCUCCCCGGGGGGUUAGGAUCCAGCCUGCCGGCGGCCUACCAAACUCUGUUUGCUAUAGCUAUCUUCUGAACCUAUAACUAAAUACGUUAAAACUUUCAACAACGGAUCUCUUGGUUCUGGCAUCGAUGAAGAACGCAGC
RNAcentral lists this unclassified non-coding RNA (279 nucleotides) under uncultured fungus. RNAcentral describes it as "partial contains small subunit ribosomal RNA, internal transcribed spacer 1, and 5.8S ribosomal RNA". The stretch from base 1 to 73 matches the Rfam family "Eukaryotic small subunit ribosomal RNA", at positions 1759 to 1831 of the family's 1831-position model. Lineage: Eukaryota; Fungi. The record is from RNAcentral.